This 554-nucleotide unclassified non-coding RNA is filed under the name Hevea brasiliensis (rubber tree). The record is from RNAcentral. Lineage: Eukaryota; Viridiplantae; Streptophyta; Magnoliopsida; Malpighiales; Euphorbiaceae.
AAGAAAGUGAAGACACCCAUGGUGCUGCUAUUUCCUUCACUUCUAAGAGAAAAGGAAGUGCAAAUAAGAGAAUGAGAGCCUCUGAGUCGCCCAAUACUAAGCCUUGGGAGCAUGUUGAUCAUGUGAUAAUGAACCUUCCUGCAUCUGCUUUACAAUUUUUAGAUGCGUUUCGGAGUGUUAUCCAGAGGAAAGAUUGGAAGGGGCUUCUUCCUUGGAUUCACUGCUAUUGCUUCAUGAGGGCAAACGAAACCAAAGAAUCUAUAAUCUUGGAGGCAGAAACUGCUGUAACUGCUCAUAUACAAGACCCGGUAUUUCACAGGGUUAGGGACGUUGCUCCAAAUAAGGCAAUGUUUUGCUUAAGCUUUAGGCUACCAGAAGCAUGCUUUAAAGAUAAUGGUGCUAACCUUCAUUCUGCAAAUGGAAAUACAUGAUCAUUCUUUGCUUCGAAAGAUGAUGCUGCCAACUUUUACAACUCAAUAUUUAGGAUUGUGAUGGACUUCGUCCCUUGUACUCUAAUACAUUAACAGAAACAUAAAGGAAAAUUUUAACAGCAG